This 450-nucleotide ribosomal RNA is filed under the name uncultured bacterium. RNAcentral describes it as "bacterial SSU rRNA". It matches the Rfam family "Bacterial small subunit ribosomal RNA", at positions 354 to 796 of the family's 1533-position model. The record is from RNAcentral.
GCUAAGAAUAUUCCGCAAUGGACGGAAGUCUGACGGAGCGACGCCGCGUGGAUGAUGAAGGCCGAAAGGUUGUAAAGUUCUUUUGCUGGGGAAGAAUAAGCCUAGGAGGGAAUGCCUAGGUGAUGACAUGAACCGGCGAAUAAGCCCCGGCCAACUACGUGCCAGCAGCCGCGGUAACACGUAGGGGGCGAGCGUUGUUCGGAAUUACUGGGCGUAAAGGGCAUGUAGGCGGUCUGGUAAGCCUGGCGUGAAAGACUGCAGCUUAACUGCAGGGAUGCGCUGGGAACUGCUGGGCUUGAGUGACGGAGAGGGAGCUGGAAUUCCUGGUGUAGGGGUGAAAUCUGUAGAUAUCAGGAAGAACACCGAUGGCGAAGGCAAGCUCCUGGCCGAUGACUGACGCUGAGGUGCGAAAGUGUGGGGAUCAAACAGGAUUAGAAACCCUAGUAGUCC